GACGAACGCUGGCGGCGUGCUUAACACAUGCAAGUCGAACGGAAAGGCCCUGCUUUUGUGGGGUGCUCGAGUGGCGAACGGGUGAGUAACACGUGAGUAACCUGCCCUUGACUUUGGGAUAACUUCAGGAAACUGGGGCUAAUACCGGAUAGGAGCUCCUGCUGCAUGGUGGGGGUUGGAAAGUUUCGGCGGUUGGGGAUGGACUCGCGGCUUAUCAGCUUGUUGGUGGGGUAGUGGCUUACCAAGGCUUUGACGGGUAGCCGGCCUGAGGGGGUGACCGGCCACAUUGGACUUGGGUACCGGCCAGGCCUCUUCCGGAGGGAGGAGGUGGGGAUAAUGGCCCAUGGGCCGGAGGCUUAUUGAGCAAACCCGGCUGCGGGGAUGCGGCCCUUCGGUUUGAAACCGCUUUCGCCUGUGACGAAGCGUGAGUGACGGUAAUGGGUAAAGAAGCACCGGCUAACUACGUG
Molecule: ribosomal RNA, 467 nt
Filed under: uncultured bacterium
Lineage: Bacteria
Description: partial 16S ribosomal RNA
Rfam family: Bacterial small subunit ribosomal RNA
Source: RNAcentral